AGUGUGCAUCUGUGCGUGGUGGCGUGAGGAUCUUUAUCGCGCUCUCUUGGUGCUAACUUUUUUAUAUAAAUUUCUGUGUGCUAGUGAAAGUGAAGAUACUGUGAUAAAAGAGGGGAAAAAAGAAAAAAAAAGAUACAUAUCAGGAUUUUUUUUCCAUUUUUUAUUUUUAUUGGUUCCCAUCAUCUGUCGGAAGUGUGCAAUUCGAAAAAAAAAAAAAUAAAAAAAAAAACGAAACUACUGUAACUGUAAAAAUAAGUAAUAUAUUCGAAGAACGUUGAGGAUACAGCUGUAGUCGUUGUAUCUCGCUCUUCAACCCUUUUUCUCCUUCUCUUCUGCUUGAAGUGAUUCUACCAGCGACCUUCAGAAAACAGGUAAACAUUCCUUUGCGAGGGAGAGUUCAUGCAAGGAAACGUGUGAGAAAGGUAACUCAUAACUCAUCUCUGUACAUUGUACUGUAAAGGUAUUUAAGAAGAAAAGUGAGGAAAAUAUAGUUAAAAUAUAAAGAGUGGUUAUGUGAGAGCGUGUCAGUUAGGGAGAGAGGGAGAGAGAAUGGGGGGAUAAGGGAACAAGUGAGUGAG
Non-coding RNA from Penaeus vannamei (Pacific white shrimp), 578 nucleotides. Lineage: Eukaryota; Metazoa; Arthropoda; Malacostraca; Decapoda; Penaeidae. The record is from RefSeq and is a predicted model, not a curated record.